RNAcentral lists this non-coding RNA (22 nucleotides) under Mus musculus (house mouse). Lineage: Eukaryota; Metazoa; Chordata; Mammalia; Rodentia; Muridae. The record is from RNAcentral.
UGGUUCCAUAUUUACGGACCGA